Molecule: long non-coding RNA, 445 nt
Filed under: Medicago truncatula (barrel medic)
Lineage: Eukaryota; Viridiplantae; Streptophyta; Magnoliopsida; Fabales; Fabaceae
Description: long non-coding RNA (MTRU_LNC005687)
Source: RNAcentral
ACCAAGGUUGACAGAAGUGGUGCCUAUGUUGUAAGGCAGGCAGCCAAGAGUAUAGUGGCCAACGGUCUUGCUCGCAGAUGCAUUGUUCAAGUUUCAUAUGCCAUUGGUGUGCCUGAACCUUUGUCGGUCUUUGUUGACAGUUAUGGAACUGGAAAGAUUCCUGACAGGGAGAUUCUUCAAAUUGUGAAGGAGAAUUUCGACUUCAGACCUGGAAUGAUCACCAUAAACUUGGACCUUAAGAGGGGUGGCAACAGCAGGUUUCUUAAGACAGCUGCUUAUGGACACUUUGGAAGGGAUGAUCCUGACUUCACAUGGGAAGUUGUGAAACCACUCAAGUGGGAGAAGCCUCAAGCUUAAGAAUUGUGUUGCGGAUUUAUAUUCGUCCCUUUGACGGUUGUCUUAUUAGGUGUGGAUGAAUAAUUUGCGUGUUUAGUUAAUUGUUGCU